Long non-coding RNA from Pipra filicauda (Wire-tailed manakin), 514 nucleotides. RefSeq lists it as uncharacterized. The transcript is spliced from 3 exons. The record is from RefSeq and is a predicted model, not a curated record. Lineage: Eukaryota; Metazoa; Chordata; Aves; Passeriformes; Pipridae.
CAUUCACCUAGAGGAGUUGCAGCCACCUACAGCACAUCAGCCAGAUGUGAGCCCACAAGGAACAGAGGUGUUUUUGUCACAGCUCUUCAACUGACUGCACAAUGCUGAUGGCAGAGCCAGGGUGAAGAUAGACCAUGCUGGUACGAAGGUGAAGAUACACCUUCCAUUUUGAAAUGUCUCGUGGAUAAGCUGUUAACAUCUGCUGCAAGUCAGGCAGUGAGCUUUUCAGUGAUGACAGCAGGCAACAGUAUUUACUGAAGAGACUAGAACUGUCAGCUUGGGAAAACAUGGGAAGACUGAAGGAAAAAGGAGGCCAGUCCCACUACCUGCCUCAGCUUCACUCAGGCUGAGCUGAGCCUACCAAAAUCUUGGAGGUACGAGUGGAUCACAGGGACACUGAAGAAAGCAGGCCUGAAGAAAUCUGGGAGGGAUUAAGAGAGUAAGUCUGUGUAUGGUCACCUAUCAGUAUUAGCGCCUAACUCUAGAAACUGAGGCCAAAUGCAUGGGAAUUAAG